AUUGAACGCUGGCGGCAUGUUUUACACAUGCAAGUCGAACGGUAACAGCACUUCGGUGGCUGACGAGUGGCGAACGGGUGAGUAAUACAUCGGAACGUGCCUAGUAGUGGGGGAUAACUACUCGAAAGAGUAGCUAAUACCGCAUGAGAUCUAAGGAUGAAAGCAGGGGACCUUCGGGCCUUGCGCUACUAGAGCGGCUGAUGGCAGAUUAGGUAGUUGGUGGGAUAAAAGCUUACCAAGCCGACGAUCUGUAGCUGGUCUGAGAGGAUGACCAGCCACACUGGAACUGAGACACGGCCCAGACUCCUACGGGAGGCAGCAGUGGGGAAUUUUGGACAAUGGGCGCAAGCCUGAUCCAGCAAUGCCGCGUGCAGGAUGAAGGCCUUCGGGUUGUAAACUGCUUUUGUACGGAACGAAAAGCCCUCUUCUAAUACAGGAGGGUCAUGACGGUACCGUAAGAAUAAGCACCGGCUAACUACGUG
Molecule: ribosomal RNA, 482 nt
Filed under: uncultured bacterium
Lineage: Bacteria
Description: partial 16S ribosomal RNA
Rfam family: Bacterial small subunit ribosomal RNA
Source: RNAcentral